RNAcentral lists this ribosomal RNA (872 nucleotides) under uncultured bacterium. RNAcentral describes it as "bacterial SSU rRNA". It matches the Rfam family "Bacterial small subunit ribosomal RNA", at positions 62 to 913 of the family's 1533-position model. The record is from RNAcentral.
UAUUAUGAAGUAGCAAUACGGAUUGAUAGCUUAGUGGCGAACGGGUGAGUAAUACAUAGGUAACCUGCCCUCAGGUUUGGGAUACUCCCGAGAAAUCGGGCACAAUACCAAAUAUGACUCCGAGGUGAAAUGCCAUGGGGUAAAAGCUGCGAGCAAUCGUGGCGCCUAAGGAGGGGCCUGUGCCCUAUCAGCUUGUUGGUGAGGUAACGGCUCACCAAGGCUAAGACGGGUAGCCGGACUGAGAGGUCGAUCGGCCACACUGGAACUGAGACACGGUCCAGACUCCUACGGGAGGCAGCAGUGAGGAAUUUUGCGCAAUGGGCGAAAGCCUGACGCAGCGACGCCGCGUGGGGGACGAAGGCCUUCGGGUCGUAAACCUCUGUCGGGCGGGAAGAAAGCGGUGGGGUCCAACACAUCCUGUCGCCUGACUGUACCGCCAAAGGAAGCCCCGGCUAACUCCGUGCCAGCAGCCGCGGUAAUACGGAGGGGGCGAGCGUUGUUCGGAAUUAUUGGGCGUAAAGGGCGCGUAGGCGGCCGUGUAAGUCGGUUGUGAAAUCCCCUGGCUCAACCAGGGAAUUGCGACCGAAACUGCACGGCUUGAGGCCGGGAGAGGAGAGUGGAAUUCCCAGUGUAGCGGUGAAAUGCGUAGAUAUUGGGAGGAACACCGGUGGCGAAGGCGGCUCUCUGGACCGGCUCUGACGCUGAGGCGCGAAAGCUAGGGGAGCAAACAGGAUUAGAUACCCUGGUAGUCCUAGCUGUAAACGAUGGGCACUUGGUGUUGCGGGUAUCGACCCCUGCAGUGCCGAAGCUAACGCAUUAAGUGCCCCGCCUGGGGGAGUACGGUCGCAAGGCUGAAACUCAAAAGGAAUUGA